Molecule: ribosomal RNA, 139 nt
Filed under: uncultured bacterium
Lineage: Bacteria
Description: partial 16S rRNA
Rfam family: Bacterial small subunit ribosomal RNA
Source: RNAcentral
GGGAAUUUUCCGCAAUGGGCGAAAGCCUGACGGAGCAAUGCCGCGUGGAGGUGGAAGGCCUACGGGUCGUCAACUUCUUUUCUCGGAGAAGAAACAAUGACGGUAUCUGAGGAAUAAGCAUCGGCUAACUCUGCGCCAG